AUGAGGCGCUCGCAGGCACCUCGAGAAGCAGGCCCCGACCGCUCGCCGACGAAGCCUCGUCCGGGCCUCCUGGGAGCGGGGUGGCAGGUACCGUGGCGCCUCCUCGCGUUGGUCUUGCUGGUUCUCGGCCCCCGAAGCGGAGCGACGGAGACACAGCUGUGGAAGCAUCUGGAUCCGCUGCCCAGGUCCCCGAGCUUCCCGGAACCCGAGGCCGCAGGACACUGAAGGCUGCCAUUCCCGAGUAGGUCACGCUGGACGCCACCCUAAGCUGGGCCCAGAGGCUCCCGUCCAGGAGGGCUGCAGUCGGCGCAGACACCGCGCGUGUGGAGACGGGAGACCCAUCCUCCUCGGCCGUUCCGAGAGUAGGCGCGGCCGGUCAGAUUCGAUGCAGAGCCGAAUGCGGGAGAAAGGGCAAAACGUACCUCAAACCAGACAAAGCCUUGUGAGCUUCAGGUUCUCAAAUACCCCACUCACCCAGACCCCACAUCUCCAGUCAGCCCCUCGCACCCAAAUCCCAUUCGGAGCAACCGAACUGCACGUGGGACUAGUUCUUGGGAAUGGAUCAAGCCAGUCUCUUCAUCUAACGGAGACAGCCCUGGGUGGCUCUGUCACACAGCCACUGUCUUGUGCACAAGUUCUGAACUUGGCCUCAGAGAAGCCCCAGAGUAGAAAGAAGACAAAAUAAGCCCCAGUUCUUCGAUUCUGGGCUGAAGUGAGAUUUUCUUGAAUGGCAGCCAUUGUUUUGCCUCUUAGGUAAGUGAGUGCAGUAAAGACCGGUAAGGCCCACGCAGAAGAAACACUGAGGAAAGAAGACACUUCCAAAGUAACAAAUGGGAGGAAGCAGCCAACGCCCGAGGACAACAUGGCAAGAAGGAGCCUUUGGAUUCCGGACUGGGAUGGAAAGAGAGUUGAUUGAAUCCCGGAAUUUGGAAACCCCAGAUACGGAGGGCGGACGGUACAACCGGAGCUGUCAGAGUCUCACUCUUUUGCCCAAAUUAGAGUGCAAUGACACGAUCUCGACUCACUGCAAUCUCUGCCUCCUGAGUUCAAGCAAGUCUCCUGCCUCAGCCUCCUAAAUAGCCAGGAUUACAGGCAUGUGCCACCACGCCCAGCUAAUGUUUUUUUUUUUUUUUGAUGUCUUUAUUAAAGCAGAACUUUCUUUUUUUUUUUUAUUAUACUUUAAGUUCUAGGGUACAUGUGCACAACGUGCAGGUUUGUUACAUAUGUA
This 1228-nucleotide long non-coding RNA is filed under the name Homo sapiens (human). Its description in RNAcentral is "HSALNT0381458". Lineage: Eukaryota; Metazoa; Chordata; Mammalia; Primates; Hominidae. The record is from RNAcentral.